This 73-nucleotide transfer RNA is filed under the name Felis catus (domestic cat). It matches the Rfam family "tRNA". Rfam says of the family: Transfer RNA (tRNA) molecules are approximately 80 nucleotides in length. RNAcentral also lists the same sequence under 5 other names. Lineage: Eukaryota; Metazoa; Chordata; Mammalia; Carnivora; Felidae. The record is from Rfam by way of RNAcentral.
GCCUGGCUGGCUCAGUCAGUAGAGCAUCAGACUCUUGAUCUCAGGGUUGUGGGUUCAAGCCCCACGUUGGGCG